GACGUAGGGCGCGAGCGUUGUCCGGAUUUAUUGGGCGUAAAGAGCUCGUAGGCGGCCUGUUGCGUCCGCUGUGAAAGCCCGGGGCUUAACCCCGGGUCUGCAGUGGAUACGGGCAGGCUAGAGGUAGGUAGGGGAGAAUGGAAUUCCCGGUGUAGCGGUGAAAUGCGCAGAUAUCGGGAGGAACACCGGUGGCGAAGGCGGUUCUCUGGGCCUUACCUGACGCUGAGGAGCGAAAGCGUGGGGAGCGAACAGG
Molecule: ribosomal RNA, 253 nt
Filed under: uncultured bacterium
Lineage: Bacteria
Description: partial 16S ribosomal RNA
Rfam family: Bacterial small subunit ribosomal RNA
Source: RNAcentral